CUCUUCUCAUUCUGAUAUCUGCGAUUCUUUCCUCCACCGACGAAAUUCUCUUCCAUCGAUGAGUCUUCUCCUCCAUCGAUGACCUUGCGCGAGUUUUCUCCCUCCAUUGCCACAACCCGACUCUGAUGAUUUCACUCUCACGCUCUCACUCUCGCAUGCGCAAGUUUUCUCUCAACCUGGUUCUUACUCGCACUCUCGUCUCUGUUCUUGCUCUCGCUCUUGCGCUCUGAAGGAUUUUUCUUUCUUUCUUCGCUCUAGGUCUUCCACAUUCUCCACGGGUUUAUCAGGAGCUGGAACCAUGAGAUUGUUAGGAGCUGGAACCCUGGGUGAUAUAAGUGAUCAUGAAAGUCUGGUUAAGACAUGAAGCAAGUUGAUGUUUUUAUCUGCAAAACAGUGGUGGCAACACUCAAGUUAUUGCUUACAAUGAGGGGUUGUACCGUAUCUUUGGGGAUACCAUUGAUAUUUGCUGUGAGGAAUUGCUUGGACCGCUUUGCAAGGGUGUUGACGCUUUCCAAUGAUCCUAGUCCUGGAUAUAACAUUGAGCAGAUGUGCAUCCUAUGGCUUCAGCUCCACCAUCUAGUACACAACGAGAGUCCAGUCGAUUAUGAACUUUACAAGCUAUAGAUGAACAAGGAAACCAAAAGAAGAUCCAAUUGUCAAUAACAGAUGUCUUUGAUAAGCCUAAAGGCCAGUUCAUAGUUGUAUUGUUUGAUAGGCAAUUGCAAGCUUGUGGAGAAGCUGCAGCACUCAUAUAGAAUAUGGAAGCUCUAGAAUCCACAUCUAUUAAGGUGUUGGUUGAGUAAGAGCUAAGCCAAACACUUGAUUCCUCUUAGGUUUCAAAAUAUGACGCCCUUGCCAAAGUUUUGGGGCCAGAUCAUUCUGCAUGUGUGCGAGGACUAGGUGUAGGAGCUCUUCAUAGUUUUGAGUUUUAAACUUGUAUAGAACAUAGUACCUAUGUAUCUGUAGUUCAUACUUAGAAAAAACUAUGAACAAGGUGUUCUUAACAUUUUGUGGUAACAUUUUGUAUUAUAAAGAAUUUAAUUGUGACUUC
Long non-coding RNA from Lotus japonicus, 1051 nucleotides. RefSeq lists it as uncharacterized. The transcript is spliced from 7 exons. The record is from RefSeq and is a predicted model, not a curated record. NCBI's taxonomy places the organism in Eukaryota, Viridiplantae, Streptophyta, Magnoliopsida, Fabales, Fabaceae.